AACGCUGGCGGCGUGCCUAAUACAUGCAAGUCGAACGCACAGCGAAAGGUGCUUGCACCUUUCAAGUGAGUGGCGAACGGGUGAGUAACACGUGGAUAACCUACCUCAAGGUUGGGGAUAACAUUUGGAAACAGAUGCUAAUACCGAAUAAAACUUCGUAUCGCAUGAUACAAGGUUAAAAGGCGCUACGGCGUCACCUAGAGAUGGAUCCGCGGUGCAUUAGUUAGUUGGUGGGGUAAAGGCCUACCAAGACAAUGAUGCAUAGCCGAGUUGAGAGACUGAUCGGCCACAUUGGGACUGAGACACGGCCCAAACUCCUACGGGAGGCUGCAGUAGGGAAUCUUCCACAAUGGGCGAAAGCCUGAUGGAGCAACGCCGCGUGUGUGAUGAAGGCUUUCGGGUCGUAAAGCACUGUUGUAUGGGAAGAACAGCUAGAGUAGGGAAUGACUUUAGUUUGACGGUACCAUACCAGAAAGGGACGGCUAAAUACGUGCCAGCAGCCGCGGUAAUACGUAUGUCCCGAGCGUUAUCCGGAUUUAUUGGGCGUAAAGCGAGCGCAGACGGUUGAUUAAGUCUGAUGUGAAAGCCCGGAGCUCAACUCCGGAAAGGCAUUGGAAACUGGUCAACUUGAGUGCAGUAGAGGUAAGUGGAACUCCAUGUGUAGCGGUGGAAUGCGUAGAUAUAUGGAAGAACACCAGCGGCGAAGGCGGCUUACUGGACUGUAACUGACGUUGAGGCUCGAAAGUGUGGGUAGCAAACAGGAUUAGAUACCCUGGUAGUCCACACCGUAAACGAUGAACACUAGGUGUUAGGAGGUUUCCGCCUCUUA
RNAcentral lists this ribosomal RNA (829 nucleotides) under uncultured Leuconostoc sp. RNAcentral's name for it is "bacterial SSU rRNA". It matches the Rfam family "Bacterial small subunit ribosomal RNA", at positions 32 to 842 of the family's 1533-position model. Lineage: Bacteria; Bacillati; Bacillota; Bacilli; Lactobacillales; Lactobacillaceae. The record is from RNAcentral.